AAAAUAUAAAUUGAUAAUUUAAAUUUAAUAAAAGUAAUUUUAAUAUUAAAAUAGGGGGUUAAAGUAUUUUAAUAGAAAAAAUUAGAAAUUUUAUAGUGAAUUAGUAUAGUAAUAGAAUUUUGAAAUAAAUGAAAACAAAUUUAUUUAAAAGUAAUUUUAAUUUAUUGUAUCUUGUGUAUCAGAGUUUAUUAAAUAAUUUUUAAAAUUUUAAAUAUUUCGAAUUUAAAAGAGCUAAUUAAUUAAUAAAUUUAAUGUUAAAUAAUUAUUUUAAAUAAUUAAUUAGAAAUGAAAUGUUAAUCGUUUUUAAAUAUAUCUGGUUAUUUUAGAAAAAAAUUUAAUUUUAAAUUUAUUUUUAUUUAUUUAAAUUAAAUAAAUAAUUUAAAUAAAAAUAAUUUUUAUAAUUUAAGGGAUAAGCUUUAAAUUAAAAAUUUAUAAUAUUUUUUUUUUAUUUAAAAUUUUUAAAAUUUAUAUUGUUUAAAAAUUAAAAUUUUUUAUAAAAAAUUUUAAAAUAAAUAAAAUUUAAAAUAAAUUUAAUUUUUUAUAAAAAUAUGAUUUUUAAUAUAUAUAUAUAUAUAUAUGAAUUAGAAAUAAUGAUAAAAUUAGUAUAAUUGAUUUAAUAAAAAUAUUAUAUAUUUUGAUUUAAUUAAAAAGAAUUCGGCAAAAUUUUAUAUUCACCUGUUUAACAAAAACAUGUCUUUUUGAUUUAAUUUAAAGUCCAAUCUGCCCACUGAUUAAAAAUUGAAGGGCUGCAGUAAUUUGACUGUACAAAGGUAGCAUAAUCAUUAGUCUUUUAAUUGAAGACUUGUAUGAAGGAUUAGAUGAAAUAUAAACUGUUUCUUAUUUAUAAUUAAAAUUUAAUUUUUUAGUUAAAAAGCUAAAAUAUUUUUAAAAGACGAGAAGACCCUAUAGAGUUUUAUAAUUUAUAAUUUAUAAUAUUUAUAUAAAAUUUUAAUAUUAAAUAUUAUAAAUUAUUUUGUUGGGGUGAUAAAAAAAUUAAAUUAACUUUUUUUUUUAAUUAUCAUAGGUAAAUGAGUCAAUGAUCCUAAAUAAAGAUUAUAAGAAAAAAUUACCUUAGGGAUAACAGCGUAAUAUUUUUUUUUAGUACAAAUAAAAAAAAAAGUUUGCGACCUCGAUGUUGGAUUAAGAUAAAAUUUAAAUGCAAAAGUUUAAAGUUUUGAUCUGUUCGAUCAUUAAAAUCUUACAUGAUCUGAGUUCAAACCGGUGUAAGCCAGGUUGGUUUCUAUCUUUAAAUAAAUAAAAUAUUUUAGUACGAAAGGAUCAAAUAUUUAAAAUAAUUUUUUUUAUAAUGAAUUUUAUUAAUAGUUAUUAAAUAUA
This 1335-nucleotide ribosomal RNA is filed under the name Celastrina lavendularis. Its description in RNAcentral is "16S ribosomal RNA". The record is from RNAcentral. Lineage: Eukaryota; Metazoa; Arthropoda; Insecta; Lepidoptera; Lycaenidae.